GCCCUCGUAGCCCAAUCGGCAGAGGCGGGCGACUUAAAAUCGCCUCAGUGCGAGUUCGAGUCUCGUCGGGGGCAC
This 75-nucleotide transfer RNA is filed under the name bacterium ADurb.BinA028. RNAcentral describes it as "tRNA-Leu". It matches the Rfam family "tRNA". From Rfam's summary of the family: Transfer RNA (tRNA) molecules are approximately 80 nucleotides in length. Their secondary structure includes four short double-helical elements and three loops (D, anti-codon, and T loops). The record is from RNAcentral.